UAGGGAAUCUUCCACAAUGGGCGGCAAGCCUGAUGGAGCAACACCGCGUGAGUGAAGAAGGGUUUCGGCUCGUAAAGCUCUGUUGUUAAAGAAGAACACGUAUGAGAGUAACUGUUCAUACGUUGACGGUAUUUAACCAGAAAGUCACGGCUAACUACGUGCCAU
This 165-nucleotide ribosomal RNA is filed under the name uncultured bacterium. Its description in RNAcentral is "partial 16S rRNA". It matches the Rfam family "Bacterial small subunit ribosomal RNA", at positions 355 to 511 of the family's 1533-position model. The record is from RNAcentral.